GUUCUACUGCGACGUUGGUGACUGCCAAUAUCGUUUUUUGAUCUAUGUCUGUUCUUAAAAGGGAAUCUAGCAGUCUUGUGUCAGUAUACCGGGCAUGUACCCGGAAACUUCAAACGAGAUUCAACGGUACCCACCUGGUUCUCCAGGUCAUAAACUGAGGUAAGACGGCGUCUUGGGGAAUCU
RNAcentral lists this non-coding RNA (183 nucleotides) under Coleofasciculus sp. C3-bin4. Its description in RNAcentral is "6S RNA". It matches the Rfam family "6S / SsrS RNA". From Rfam's summary of the family: E. coli 6S RNA was the first non coding RNA to be sequenced, but its function was unknown until recently. It consists of 184 nucleotides that fold into an extended hairpin structure with a large single-stranded internal bulge. The record is from RNAcentral. Lineage: Bacteria; Bacillati; Cyanobacteriota; Cyanophyceae; Coleofasciculales; Coleofasciculaceae.